Molecule: ribosomal RNA, 473 nt
Filed under: uncultured bacterium
Lineage: Bacteria
Description: bacterial SSU rRNA
Rfam family: Bacterial small subunit ribosomal RNA
Source: RNAcentral
AGUCGAACGGCAGCACGGGAGCAAUCCUGGUGGCGAGUGGCGAACGGGUGAGUAAUAUAUCGGAACGUGCCCAAUCGUGGGGGAUAACGCAGCGAAAGCUGUGCUAAUACCGCAUACGAUCUACGGAUGAAAGCGGGGGACUCAGCAAUGGGCCUCGCGCGAAUGGAGCGGCCGAUAUCAGAUUAGCUAGUUGGUGGGGUAAAGGCUCACCAAGGCGACGAUCUGUAGCUGGUCUGAGAGGACGACCAGCCACACUGGAACUGAGACACGGUCCAGACUCCUACGGGAGGCAGCAGUGGGGAAUUUUGGACAAUGGGCGCAAGCCUGAUCCAGCAAUGCCGCGUGCAGGAUGAAGGCCUUCGGGUUGUAAACUGCUUUUGUACGGAACGAAAAGACUCCUUCUAAUAAAGGGGGUUCAUGACGGUACCGUAAGAAUAAGCACCGGCUAACUACGUGCCAGCAGCCGCGGUAAU